GAGGAGAUCAGUCAUACCGAAGGA
RNAcentral lists this non-coding RNA (24 nucleotides) under Arabidopsis thaliana (thale cress). Lineage: Eukaryota; Viridiplantae; Streptophyta; Magnoliopsida; Brassicales; Brassicaceae. The record is from RNAcentral.